RNAcentral lists this ribosomal RNA (308 nucleotides) under uncultured bacterium. Its description in RNAcentral is "partial 16S ribosomal RNA". It matches the Rfam family "Bacterial small subunit ribosomal RNA", at positions 505 to 807 of the family's 1533-position model. The record is from RNAcentral.
GAGACAGCAGUCGCCGCGGUAAUACAGAGGGUGCGAGCGUUAAUCGGAUUUACUGGGCGUAAAGCGUGCGUAGGCGGCUUUUUAAGUCGGAUGUGAAAUCCCUGAGCUUAACUUAGGAAUUGCAUUCGAUACUGGGAAGCUAGAGUAUGGGAGAGGAUGGUAGAAUUCCAGGUGUAGCGGUGAAAUGCGUAGAGAUCUGGAGGAAUACCGAUGGCGAAGGCAGCCAUCUGGCCUAAUACUGACGCUGAGGUACGAAAGCAUGGGGAGCAAACAGGAUUAGAUACCCCGGUAGUCCCUGUCUCUUAUAC